Molecule: ribosomal RNA, 377 nt
Filed under: uncultured bacterium
Lineage: Bacteria
Description: bacterial SSU rRNA
Rfam family: Bacterial small subunit ribosomal RNA
Source: RNAcentral
AUUGAACGCUAGCGGGAUGCCUUACACAUGCAAGUCGAACGGCAGCGCGGACUUCGGUCUGGCGGCGAGUGGCGAACGGGUGAGUAAUGUAUCGGAACGUGCCCAGUAGCGGGGGGCAACCACUCGAAAGAGUGGCUAAUACCGCAUACGCCCUACGGGGAAGGGGGGAGUCGCAAGACCUCUCACUAUUGGAGCGGCCGAUAUCGGAUUAGCCAGUUGGUGGGUAAAGGCCUACCAAGGCGACGAUCCGUAGCUGGUUUGAGAGGACGACCAGCCACACUGGGACUGAGACACGGCCCAGACUCCUACGGGAGGCAGCAGUGGGGAAUUUUGGACAAUGGGGGAAACCCUGAUCCAGCCAUUCCGCGUGUGCGAUG